AUGCAAAUGUUUUUCAUGUUCAAAGUAAACAGAAAAAGAUAAGACAGCCAACUCAUUUCUGAUGUGCUAAACAAAUCUUUGGGGGUAAAUCAGCGUAACUAAUUUAGUCAUUGCUGUCACUCAUCUCAGACAAGA
RNAcentral lists this small nucleolar RNA (135 nucleotides) under Chinchilla lanigera (long-tailed chinchilla). The record is from RNAcentral. Lineage: Eukaryota; Metazoa; Chordata; Mammalia; Rodentia; Chinchillidae.